CCGGCUCACGAUGAACGCUAGCUACAGGCUUAACACAUGCAAGUCGAGGGGCAGCAUGGUCUUAGCUUGCUAAGGCCGAUGGCGACCGGCGCACGGGUGAGUAACACGUAUCCAACCUGCCGUCUACUCUUGGACAGCCUUCUGAAAGGAAGAUUAAUACAAGAUGGCAUCAUGAGUCCGCAUGUUCACAUGAUUAAAGGUAUUCCGGUAGACGAUGGGGAUGCGUUCCAUUAGAUAGUAGGCGGGGUAACGGCCCACCUAGUCUUCGAUGGAUAGGGGUUCUGAGAGGAAGGUCCCCCACAUUGGAACUGAGACACGGUCCAAACUCCUACGGGAGGCAGCAGUGAGGAAUAUUGGUCAAUGGGCGAGAGCCUGAACCAGCCAAGUAGCGUGAAGGAUGACUGCCCUAUGGGUUGUAAACUUCUUUUAUAAAGGAAUAAAGUCGGGUAUGGAUACCCGUUUGCAUGUACUUUAUGAAUAAGGAUCGGCUAACUCCGUGCCAGCAGCCGCGGUAAUACGGAGGAUCCGAGCGUUAUCCGGAUUUAUUGGGUUUAAAGGGAGCGUAGAUGGAUGUUUAAGUCAGUUGUGAAAGUUUGCGGCUCAACCGUAAAAUUGCAGUUGAUACUGGAUAUCUUGAGCGCAGUUGAGGCAGGCGGAAUUCGUGGUGUAGCGGUGAAAUGCUUAGAUAUCACGAAGAACUCCGAUUGCGAAGGCAGCCUGCUAAGCUGCAACUGACAUUGAGGCUCGAAAGUGUGGGUAUCAAACAGGAUUAGAUACCCUGGUAGUCCACACGGUAAACGAUGAAUACUCGCUGUUUGCGAUAUACAGCAAGCGGCCAAGCGAAAGCGUUAAGUAUUCCACCUGGGGAGUACGCCGGCAACGGUGAAACUCAAAGGAAUUGACGGGGGCCCGCACAAGCGGAGGAACAUGUGGUUUAAUUCGAUGAUACGCGAGGAACCUUACCCGGGCUUAAAUUGCAGAUGAAUUACGGUGAAAGCCGUAAGCCGCAAGGCAUCUGUGAAGGUGCUGCAUGGUUGUCGUCAGCUCGUGCCGUGAGGUGUCGGCUUAAGUGCCAUAACGAGCGCAACCCUUGUUGUCAGUUACUAACAGGUUCCGCUGAGGACUCUGACAAGACUGCCAUCGUAAGAUGUGAGGAAGGUGGGGAUGACGUCAAAUCAGCACGGCCCUUACGUCCGGGGCUACACACGUGUUACAAUGGGGGGUACAGAGGGCCGCUACCACGCGAGUGGAUGCCAAUCCCCAAAACCUCUCUCAGUUCGGACUGGAGUCUGCAACCCGACUCCACGAAGCUGGAUUCGCUAGUAAUCGCGCAUCAGCCACGGCGCGGUGAAUACGUUCCCGGGCCUUGUACACACCGCC
RNAcentral lists this ribosomal RNA (1380 nucleotides) under uncultured bacterium. Its description in RNAcentral is "bacterial SSU rRNA". It matches the Rfam family "Bacterial small subunit ribosomal RNA", at positions 19 to 1394 of the family's 1533-position model. The record is from RNAcentral.